UACGUAGGUGGCAAGCGUUGUCCGGAUUUACUGGGCGUAAAGGGCGCGUAGGCGGUCAGCACAAGUCAGUUGUGAAAUCUCCGGGCUUAACUCGGAAAGGUCAACUGAUACUGUGCGACUAGAGUGCAUAAGGGGCAACUGGAAUUCUCGGUGUAGCGGUGAAAUGCGUAGAUAUCGAGAGGAACACCUGCGGCGAAGGCGGGUUGCUGGGCUGACACUGACGCUGAUGCGCGAAAGCCAGGGGAGCGAACGGG
Molecule: ribosomal RNA, 254 nt
Filed under: uncultured bacterium
Lineage: Bacteria
Description: partial 16S ribosomal RNA
Rfam family: Bacterial small subunit ribosomal RNA
Source: RNAcentral